Molecule: ribosomal RNA, 459 nt
Filed under: uncultured bacterium
Lineage: Bacteria
Description: partial 16S ribosomal RNA
Rfam family: Bacterial small subunit ribosomal RNA
Source: RNAcentral
ACUACGGGUGGCAGCAGUGAGGAAUAUUGGUCAAUGGGCGCGAGCCUGAACCAGCCAAGUCGCGUGAGGGAAGACGGUCCUAUGGAUUGUAAACCUCUUUUGUCGGGGAGCAAAAGACGCCACGCGUGGCGUUCCGAGAGUACCCGAAGAAAAAGCAUCGGCUAACUCCGUGCCAGCAGCCGCGGUAAUAGGGAGGAUGCGAGCGUUAUCCGGAUUUAUUGGGUUUAAAGGGAGCGCAGGGGGAAGAUCAAGUCAGCGGGAAAUUUGAGAGGCUCAACCUCUUCGAGCCGUUGAAACUGGUAUUCUUGAGUGAGCGAGAGGUAUGCGGAAUGCGUGGUGUAGCGGUGAAAUGCAUAGAUAUCACGCAGAACUCCGAUUGCGAAGGCAGCAUACCGGCGCUCAACUGACGCUGAUGCACGAAAGUGUGGGUAUCGAACAGGAUUAGAUACCCCAGUAGUC